This 1160-nucleotide ribosomal RNA is filed under the name uncultured organism. Its description in RNAcentral is "bacterial SSU rRNA". It matches the Rfam family "Bacterial small subunit ribosomal RNA", at positions 301 to 1463 of the family's 1533-position model. The record is from RNAcentral.
UGGUCAGCCACACUGGAACUGAGACACGGUCCAGACACCUACGGGUGGCAGCAGUCGAGAAUCAUUCGCAAUGGGGGAAACCCUGACGAUGCGACGCCGCGUGGAGGAUGAAGGCCUUAGGGUUGUAAACUCCUGUCAAGAGGGAAUAAGCAAGUGAAGGUACCUCUAGAGGAAGGGGCGGCUAAUUCCGUGCCAGCAGCCGCGGUAACACGGAAGCCCCGAGCGUUGUUCGGAUUCAUUGGGCGUAAAGGGUGCGUAGGCGGCGCGGAAAGUCCGGCGUGAAAGGCAGGGGCUCAACCUCUGGACUGCGUUGGAUACUUCCGUGCUUGAGGACUGGAGGGGAGACUGGAAUUCACGGUGUAGCAGUGAAAUGCGUAGAUAUCGUGAGGAAGACCGGUGGCGAAGGCGAGUCUCUGGACAGAUCCUGACGCUGAGGCACGAAGGCUGGGGGAGCGAACAGGAUUAGAUACCCUGGUAGUCCCAGCAGUAAACGAUGUGAGCUUGAUGUGGGGGGAUUCGACCCCUUCCGUGUCGAAGCUAACGCGAUAAGCUCACCGCCUGAGGAGUACGGCCGCAAGGCUAAGACUCAAAGAAAUUGACGGGGACCCGCACAAGCGGUGGAGUAUGUGGCUUAAUUCGAUGCAACGCGAAGAACCUUACCUGGCCUUGACAUGCAUUGUGUCGUCGGUGAAAGCCGGCUAGUCCUGGAAACAGGACGCUUUGCACAGGUGCUGCAUGGCUGUCGUCAGCUCGUGUCGUGAGAUGUUGGGUUAAGUCCCGCAACGAGCGCAACCCUUGUGGUCAGUUACUAACCGGCUUAGCCGGAGGACUCUGGCCAGACUGCCCUGUCAAACGGGGAGGAAGGUGGGGACGACGUCAAGUCAGUAUGGCCCUUAUGGCCAGGGCUGCACACGUACUACAAUGCCCGGUACAAUGUGAACCGAAACCGCGAGGUGGAGGAAAUCGCUCUUGAAAACCGGGCCCAGUUCGGAUUGGAGUCUGCAACUCGACUCCAUGAAGUCGGAAUCGCUAGUAAUGGCGUAUCAGCAACGACGCCGUGAAUACGUUCCCGGGUCUUGUACACACCGCCCGUCACAUCAUGGAAGUCUCCUGUACCCGAAGCACGUGCGCCAACCUUUCAGGAGGCAGCGUUCGAAGGU